Molecule: ribosomal RNA, 253 nt
Filed under: uncultured bacterium
Lineage: Bacteria
Description: partial 16S ribosomal RNA
Rfam family: Bacterial small subunit ribosomal RNA
Source: RNAcentral
UACGUAGGGUGCGAGCGUUGUCCGGAAUUAUUGGGCGUAAAGGGCUCGUAGGCGGUCUGUUGCGUCCGCUGUGAAAACCCGGGGCUUAACCCCUGGCUUGCAGUGGAUACGGACAGACUAGAGGUAGGUAGGGGAGAAUGGAAUUCCCGGUGUAGCGGUGAAAUGCGUAGAUAUCAGGAGGAACACCUGUGGUGUAGACAGCUUACUGGACCAUUUCUGACGCUGAGACACGAAAGCGUGGGUAGCAAACAGG